GAAGCUUGUCAACUUUUCACUCCAUCUCAAGAAAUUAUGGAGCACGUUUUCUGUCCAUAGAUAGGCCCAGAAUGGGCUAGGCUUUCAAGUCUGGUUGGGGAGUUUGGUCUAUGGGCUCAAAAUUGGGUCCAAGGUCUGGAGCUGGUGGUCCAAGCCUAAAGGCCCUAGUUUUCAUCAGGAAUGCAAGGCAAUAAUUGAAACAUAGAUUUACAGAAUCUCUCUGCUGCAGCCUCAACCACCCCAAUCAAGUACAAUUUUAAAGAAAAUGAGUCUCAACACUGUCGAAACCAUCAUAAAAAUAAUUUUUAUUCCCAAAACCAUAUCACUUUUUCGCAUCAACUAUUUGAUCAUAUGAUAUGAUCAUACCAACUCAUCUAUCAUGGAAUCAAAAUCAACUGAAAAAAAAAAGUUAUCAGAGAAUCGUUAGUUUUUAGUAUGUUAAUGAUUAAAAUAUUAAUUUUUACAUACUAUUAAUGAUUAAAACGUGAGUUUUCAAACUUUAAUGAUCAAAACAUGAAUAAUUUAAUCAUUUUCUUAUAAUCUCUCAUAAUUUUUAUUUGUUAAUUUGUAUUUUGUAAUUUCUCAAUACAUUGUUAAUUUAAGUUAAUUUUAAGUUAAAAGCCAAUCAUUUUAUAUGUGACAAUUUUAAGUUUAUUUGUUUUUUGUGACGGGCAAUCCUGUUUUACCAAUAAAUUGUGGAAAAAUGAUAUGAGUUCUUGCCUUUUUAGAGGGAUGAUUGAGUAUUGAGAGAGAAAAAAAGCAACACCGUUCUUUUUCAGUGCUGAAAAAAGGGCAGCUGACUCACAGACUGUCAAAGUUAAAGCUGCCAUGACAUGACAGGAAAAAAGUAAAAAAAUAAGUAAAAUAGUGAGUUUGAUCCUUUUCCUUAGGUGUAAUUUGAUUAUAAAUUAUGGACCGAUCACAUUCAAAUACGUUUAUGAUUGGAAUUUUGAAUUUAACUAAAAUGAUUGGAGUCCGACUCAUUUUUGCACCACUAGGCAUAAUAAAAGAACAUGCAUGAUCAACGUGGGAGGAAAGUGUUUCCCCUUUUUCUCCUCCUUUGAUUACUUUGAUGAAUGUGAAAGGAACAUUUCAUUUGCUUUGAAUCGAGCUGUUCAGGACAAAACUUUUUCUGGACAGUAGCUGAUCAUUCAUGUUCUCUCUUCCAUUAUUUUCUUGUGAAUUAUUCAUGGAAAUUGAUUUUGAGAUCUGGUACUAUUGGUAAAUGGCAUUUACCUCUACAUUUCAAUCAAGCAAGUUUGGUUCUCAAAGAAAACAAUAAGGUAAUCUAGCUUUGGGUUGAGUUACAUUGAUUACAUUCAUCCCCACUGGAAACCUAGUUCUCUAUAUGGUGUGGACUAAUGAAGGGCCAGUGGGCAAAUCACUCUUCAUUGAUUGGCAUAAGACGCGGGGAACCAAAUCUGAGGGAGGAUUCAAAGUCUCUAAUAAUAGCAUGCAGAGGGUCCAGCUCUGAGUUGUCGUGUCGUUUUCUCCUUAUAAAUUCCUACCUAACUCGGUAGCAAAAAAAAUUUUAAUUAGCUACAUGUGCUUGUCUAGUAUAGUAGUAGAGGAAUCUAAUCCAUUUCGAUGUUGACAAAAAGACAAGCGAUUGCACAAAUUUUGUAUUGAUCUUCUCCAUCUGCAGCUCCAUCCAGAGAUCUGCCACACCCAUGCCGGAAGAGACAUUAAUGGCGAAGAAGAUAAAAUUAAUUAAGCAGAAGAUGCAGACAACCAGCCCACCCCAGUUGGAUUUAAAACAGGUAGUGGCAUUUUUAUUAUUAAUGUGACCUGUCCAACCACAUGGCAGACUUAUUAAAAUAUAAUAUUUUCGAUAUUAAAACUUAUUAAAAUAUAUGUUUUUUGGAGAAUCACAUGGUAGAUUUUAAAGUAAGAUAAUACUUCCAAUAGAGGAAUAUAUUUUAUGUAUAUCUAUAUCAAGAAAGCUUCACCAUAUCGAUUUUCUAAGGAUUUAAUCUUUGAAAAAUCUAUUAGCAUGAACCGACAGUGGUAUCAUAUUAUUUUGAAAAUCUGCACCCACACGUUUUUAUAUAUAUAGAAUAAAGGCACAUGGUUUGUUCCAGAAAUCAAUAAGAUCGAUCCGUUUGAAAUGUAGGAAAAAGUUUUCCCGAGAAAGUUUUUCAAUAUUUAUUCAUAUUUAAAAAGAAAAAAAAUGUAAAAAUGAAUAUAAAAAAAUUUUUGAGUUAGAAAAAUUGUCUUGCAUUUUUUUUAAAAAUAAGAUAAUUUCUCAAAAACAAAACCUUCACCUUUCCCUUCUGUUCUUCCUCAAUCUUCAAGUAAAAUAGUUUCCACAGAAAAUCUUUUUUUUUGGUAAGUUAAUUUCUGAGUUAGAAACGAAACCGAAGAAGAGAAACAACAUUGAAACUCUAGGAGUAUGCAUGUGAAAAAUUAGUUAGGCUUUAUUGUCAAAAUAGGCAGCCGAAAUUAGCACCAUUAUUUGUACUUUUAUACAUCCUAAAGCUUAUAGAUGAUCAUUAUGUAAAUACAUAAUGAAGUUAAUACGAGUGUACUUCGUAUCUAACUAAAUAAUUAAAUGCAGCAAAGUAAGGUAGUUAUAAAGUAAAUUCGACCGAAAAAAGAAGGACUAAAUAGUAAAUUUUUCAUUUAAAAAAUAAAUGGUACAUAUUUGGUUUGAGUCUCACCAUGGUCAUUAAUAUUUAACUAAAUAAUAAGUUUUUCAUUCUAAAUUUAAUAGAAAUGUAAUGCAACAACAAUUAAACGUAGCGAAUUAAGGUAUUUACACAGUAAAUUCGACCAAUAAAAAAUCAAAUAAAUAGUAAGUUUUACAUUUCAAAUCUUUACCAUGAUUUGUUUACGGUGACGUCCCCGCACCUGUGGGGUCGAAAUAUCAUGUUAUGACCAAAAUAACUGAGCUGGCAACUCACCUACCCCUCCCAUUUCGAGAAGGAAAUAAAUAAACAAAUAUAUAAAGUAACUAGUUUUGAACAUUUAAUAAAAGAUAAGGCAAGUCGUGGGCGAUCUCGGGUUUCCACACCCGCCCCAACGGGCGCUUUCGAUUAUCGGAUUAGCAGAACCCCAACUCCCACCAUUUAUUAGUAUUUUUUUGGAAAAAAGCACGUUUUCUGUUGGCUCAGUUUUGUUCAAGAAUAGACAACCUUGGAACAGGGUUUUGCCCAAAUCUGUAUCAAUUAUCAAAGACUUUUUUUU
Theobroma cacao (cacao) is the source of this 3186-nucleotide non-coding RNA. NCBI's taxonomy places the organism in Eukaryota, Viridiplantae, Streptophyta, Magnoliopsida, Malvales, Malvaceae. The record is from RefSeq and is a predicted model, not a curated record.